AGCAAAUGGUGCUACUGUAGUGUUCUCAGAUUAUAGCUGAUUGCUGAAUCUUAAUUAUACAGGACAAAGAAGAAAGCAAGAGGUUGCCUGUGCAGAACAUUAACUACGGUUUUGUGGGCAGUACUCUCAAAAUCAGCCUCCCUCGCAGGCUGUGGGAGCCCUCUAAUCCCAUUGCUUGCUAUGGGAAACGGAAGGAGCCGGAGGAGCUAGCAUGGAGUCAGCACCCAAAUGGAGACCAGAGUGAAGAAUUAAGAAGCAGGCAAGAAUUAAGAGCCCAGCAGGAGUCUUCCUCAGAAGAGAGACUGUCCGGGGACAUCCCAAUAUCAUGCUAAGAGGAAAAUCAGUUAUUUCAAGGCUCAUGUCAUGAGGUCUGCACUAGUGCCACCUUCCAGAUGGACAAGUCAUCUCAUGUAAAUCCUCUCUUGCGGCCCAUCACUCAUCUCACCCGGAGAUCUCCUGGAGAGUCCAGAGGAAAAUUGGAAGCAGCUACACUGUCCAUUGAUAGUAGACGGACUAAGAACUUAUGGCGCUUGCAUAAUGGAGCACCAGGAGACAGCACAUGCUCCUCAGCUUAUGAUGGAGGGACAUCUCAAAGCUGUGACAAGAUGAGCAUAUUGGCCUUUAAAAUGAUGUGUGCACACAUGUGGAUCUGUGUGUGUGAGUGCCUGUGGAGGUAGAGGCACUGGAUCAUUGGCUGGAGUUACAGGCAGCUGGAAGCCACCCAGAGUGGGUGCCGGGAGCUAACUCGGGUCCUUAACUGCUUGCUUGGCCAGCUCUCCAGCUCAAAAGCAGCACUGUGAUUUAGCCUCUUCUCUGUGUUCAGGUUGUAAACAGAGGGCAAGAAAACAGAAGAAAGCCAAGAACUAACAUGUGUACUUAGUCCAUAUCUUACUUGGGAAAUAUUCUAAAGAAACAUCAUUGGUGCCCGAGAAUUGAUGGCGUUGGAUUUGUUCCUCUGGCUUGAAUGAAUUUUAGUACAUUCUUAUCUGCCAGUUUGCAACUGCAUUUCAAGCAACUGGCACAGACAGAGUAUCCAAAACUUUCUUACAUUGAUGCUUCAGUGUUGUUUCUAUAUUACAGAAGAAAACAUGACUUAAGGAGAGCCAGGUAAACAGAUUUUAAGGACAGCCAUUGACUGCUGUAAGGGAUGGUGAGGACAAUGAUGGUGUCAGAGUGUUACUAAGUAGCUGUAAGCCAUGCUACAUUGUUAAUUAAUCAAACAGCAUUUCCACCUGUUGAUCUCACACAAGCAACUCACCAACCUGCAGUUCUGAUAUCGACCGAUAAGUAGGUCGUAUUAGUUUCAUAUUGUGGAUUAGGAAUUGAGACUUCAGGGAGGUUGUAGAAGAGGCAAGUUGACAGUUAAUAGUUGGCAGAGGCAGAGAGCAAACCAAGGGUGUUUUCCUCUAGUAUCUUGUUCCUUCUGACUUUCACACUGUUUAUCUCCUCAAAUUUCUUGCCAUUGCAGGGGAAUUGGUUUCCUGACCAAUAAAAUGGGGGAAUUUAGACUAUUUAAGUGACCACUAAAUUUAAUGGUACCCUUUGACAUUCUACAGGAAAUGGCCAAGGGGAGGUGAUUAAAAAAAAAUAAAGGUUUGUUUGGGCUCAUGGUCCUGGAGGAAAAAGGUCUAAAUAGCAUGUCACAAGCUCUGAUGUUGUCCUCCAGGCUAUGUCCUGGUAAUAAUGUACAUUCUAUACCCAUGUGUUCUCUUUCACCCCUUAUAAAGCCAACAGGACUUGAUUAUGAGGAAUUUGCCCUAACAAUAAUUGAAUGCAAUUGCUCCUCAAAGCCCCACCUGUAAAUAUUGUAUAAAGAUUGAGAAUUAAUACCUGCCAAUACCAUGAACAGAACACACUGGAGAUCAGUCUCCAGCAUUGUGGGGAGCCGCCCCCACAUUCUCCAUUACAAGAUGGCGCCAACACCCGUUGUCGGUUGGAGUAAACAAC
Molecule: long non-coding RNA, 1947 nt
Organism: Mesocricetus auratus (golden hamster)
Lineage: Eukaryota; Metazoa; Chordata; Mammalia; Rodentia; Cricetidae
Exons: 5
Source: RefSeq, a predicted model, not a curated record